AAGCGUAAUAGCUCACUAGUCGAGUCGGCCUGCGCGGAAGAUGUAACGGGGCUAAACGUAGAACCGAAGCUGCGGACGCAUUUAUGCGUGGUAGAGGAGCGUUCUGUACGCCUGCGAAGGUGAGUCGAGAGGCUUGCUGGAGGUAUCAGAAGUGCGAAUGCUGACAUGAGUAACGACAAAGGGGGUGAAAAACCCCCUCGCCGGAAGACCAAGGUUUCCUGCCCCAUGCUAAUCAGGGCAGGGUUAGUCGGCCCCUAAGGUGAGGCUGAAAAGCGUAAUCGAUGGGAAACGGGUUAAUAUUCCCGUACUUGUUGUAACUGCGAUGGAGGGACGGAGUAGGCUAGGCGAGCGCAGCGUUGGUUGUCUGCGUUUAAGCUAGUAGGCUGAGAUCUUAGGCAAAUCCGGGAUCUUAAGGCUGAGAGGUGAUGACGAGUCCUCUUUUGGACGAAGUCGUUGAUGCCAUGCUUCCAAGAAAAUCUUCUAAGCUUCAGGUUACAACAAACCGUACCCCAAACCGACACAGGUGGUCAGGUAGAGAAUACCAAGGCGCUUGAGAGAACUCGGGUGAAGGAACUAGGCAAAAUGGCACCGUAACUUCGGGAGAAGGUGCGCCGCUGACGGUGAUGGGACUUGCUCCCUAAGCUAUUGGCGGUCGAAGAUACCAGGUGGCUGCGACUGUUUAUUAAAAACACAGCACUCUGCAAACACGUAAGUGGAAGUAUAGGGUGUGACGCCUGCCCGGUGCCGGAAGGUUAAUUGAUGGGGUUAGCUUCGGCGAAGCUCUUGAUCGAAGCCCCGGUAAACGGCGGCCGUAACUAUAACGGUCCUAAGGUAGCGAAAUUCCUUGUCGGGUAAGUUCCGACCUGCACGAAUGGCGUAACGACGGGGGCGCUGUCUCCACCAUAGACUCAGUGAAAUCGAAAUCGCGGUGAAGAUGCCGUGUUCCCGCGGCUAGACGGAAAGACCCCGUGAACCUUUACUAUAGCUUGGCACUGAACUUUGAAUCUAUCUGUGUAGGAUAGGUGGGAGGCUUUGAAGCGUUAUCGCUAGAUAGCGUGGAGCCAUCCUUGAAAUACCACCCUGGUAUAUUUGAGGUUCUAACUCUGACCCAUUAUCUGGGUCGAGGACAGUGUCUGGUGGGUAGUUUGACUGGGGCGGUCUCCUCCCAAAGAGUAACGGAGGAGCACGAAGGUUGGCUAAGUACGGUCGGACAUCGUACGGUUAGUGUAAUGGUAGAAGCCAGCUUAACUGCGAGACAGACACGUCGAGCAGGUACGAAAGUAGGUCAUAGUGAUC
This 1296-nucleotide ribosomal RNA is filed under the name seawater metagenome. Its description in RNAcentral is "bacterial LSU rRNA". It matches the Rfam family "Bacterial large subunit ribosomal RNA", at positions 1130 to 2420 of the family's 2925-position model. The record is from RNAcentral.